GAUGAACGCUGGCGGCGUGCUUAACACAUGCAAGUCGAACGAUGAAGCCCAGCUUGCUGGGUGGAUUAGUGGCGAACGGGUGAGUAACACGUGAGUAACUUGCCCUUAACUCUGGGUUAAGCCUGGGAAACUGGGCCUAAUACCGGUUAGGAGCGCCUACCGCAUGGUGGGUGUUGGGAAGAUUUAUCGGUUUUGGAUGGACUCGCGGCUUAUCAGCUUGGUUGUGGGGUAAUGGCUCACCAAGGCGACGACGGAUAGCCGGCCUGAGAGGGUGGCCAGCGACAAUGGUACUGAGACACGGCCCAGACUCCUACGGUAGGCAGCAGUGGAGAGUAUUGCACAACGGGCGAGAGCCUGAUGCAGCGAUGCCGCGUGUGGGAUGACGGCCUUCGGGUGGUAAACCUCUUUCAGUAGGGACGAAGCGGAAGUGACGGUACCUGCAGAAGAAGCACCGGCUAACUACGUG
This 466-nucleotide ribosomal RNA is filed under the name uncultured bacterium. RNAcentral describes it as "partial 16S ribosomal RNA". It matches the Rfam family "Bacterial small subunit ribosomal RNA", at positions 28 to 507 of the family's 1533-position model. The record is from RNAcentral.